AACUUGGGUUAGGUUCGCAACGCUUUGCGCUUCAACUGAUUUGAAGAGCUUGCUCAGAUAUGACGAUGGACAUUGCAAAGAGUGGCGAACGGGUGAGUAACACGUGGGAAACCUACCUCUUAGCAGGGGAUAACAUUUGGAAACAGAUGCUAAUACCGUAUAACAAUGACAACCGCAUGGUUGUUAUUUAAAAGAUGGUUCUGCUAUCACUAAGAGAUGGUCCCGCGGUGCAUUAGCUAGUUGGUAAGGUAAUGGCUUACCAAGGCGAUGAUGCAUAGCCGAGUUGAGAGACUGAUCGGCCACAAUGGGACUGAGACACGGCCCAUACUCCUACGGGAGGCAGCAGUAGGGAAUCUUCCACAAUGGGCGAAAGCCUGAUGGAGCAACGCCGCGUGUGUGAUGAAGGGUUUCGGCUCGUAAAACACUGUUGUAAGAGAAGAAUGACAUUGAGAGUAACUGUUCAAUGUGUGACGGUAUCUUACCAGAAAGGAACGGCUAAAUACGUGCCAGCAGCCGCGGUAAUACGUAUGUUCCAAGCGUUAUCCGGAUUUAUUGGGCGUAAAGCGAGCGCAGACGGUUAUUUAAGUCUGAAGUGAAAGCCCUCAGCUCAACUGAGGAAUUGCUUUGGAAACUGGAUGACUUGAGUGCAGUAGAGGAAAGUGGAACUCCAUGUGUAGCGGUGAAAUGCGUAGAUAUAUGGAAGAACACCAGUGGCGAAGGCGGCUUUCUGGACUGUAACUGACGUUGAGGCUCGAAAGUGUGGGUAGCAAACAGGAUUAGAUACCCUGGUAGUCCACACCGUAAACGAUGAGUGCUAGGUGUUUGAGGGUUUCCGCCCUUAAGUGCCGCAGCUAACGCAUUAAGCACUCCGCCUGGGGAGUACGACCGCAAGGUUGAAACUCAAAGGAAUUGACGGGGACCCGCACAAGCGGUGGAGCAUGUGGUUUAAUUCGAAGCAACGCGAAGAACCUUACCAGGUCUUGACAUCCCUUGACAACUCCAGAGAUGGAGCGUUCCCUUCGGGGACAAGGUGACAGGUGGUGCAUGGUUGUCGUCAGCUCGUGUCGUGAGAUGUUGGGUUAAGUCCCGCAACGAGCGCAACCCUUAUUACUAGUUGCCAGCAUUCAGUUGGGCACUCUAGUGAGACUGCCGGUGACAAACCGGAGGAAGGUGGGGAUGACGUCAAAUCAUCAUGCCCCUUAUGACCUGGGCUACACACGUGCUACAAUGGCGUAUACAACGAGUUGCCAACCCGCGAGGGUGAGCUAAUCUCUUAAAGUACGUCUCAGUUCGGAUUGUAGGCUGCAACUCGCCUACAUGAAGUCGGAAUCGCUAGUAAUCGCGGAUCAGCACGCCGCGGUGAAUACGUUCCCGGGUCUUGUACACACCGCCCGUCACACCAUGAGAGUUUGUAACACCCAAAGCCGGUGGGGUAACCUUCGGGAGCCAGCCGUGUAAUUU
RNAcentral lists this ribosomal RNA (1461 nucleotides) under Weissella confusa. RNAcentral describes it as "bacterial SSU rRNA". It matches the Rfam family "Bacterial small subunit ribosomal RNA". The record is from RNAcentral. Lineage: Bacteria; Bacillati; Bacillota; Bacilli; Lactobacillales; Lactobacillaceae.